GUGGGGAAUAUUGCACAAUGGGGGAAACCCUGAUGCAGCAACGCCGCGUGAGUGAUGACGGUCUUCGGAUUGUAAAGCUCUGUCUUCAGGGACGAUAAUGACGGUACCUGAGGAGGAAGCCACGGCUAACUACGUGCCAGCAGCCGCGGUAAUACGUAGGUGGCAAGCGUUGUCCGGAUUUACUGGGCGUAAAGGGAGCGUAGGUGGAUAUUUAAGUGGGAUGUGAAAUACUCGGGCUUAACCUGGGUGCUGCAUUCCAAACUGAAUAUCUAGAGUGCAGGAGAGGAAAGUAGAAUUCCUAGUGUAGCGGUGAAAUGCGUAGAGAUUAGGAAGAAUACCAGUGGCGAAGGCGACUUUCUGGACUGUAACUGACACUGAGGCUCGAAAGCGUGGGGAGCAAACAGGAUUAGAUACCCUGGUAGUCC
RNAcentral lists this ribosomal RNA (425 nucleotides) under uncultured bacterium. Its description in RNAcentral is "partial 16S ribosomal RNA". It matches the Rfam family "Bacterial small subunit ribosomal RNA", at positions 354 to 796 of the family's 1533-position model. The record is from RNAcentral.